AUUUAUUGAUUUCAAUAUCUUUUAUUUGUAUUUAUGGUUAUUAUUUUGAUUUAUGAGAUUAUUUUCUUUCUUUCUUUUUCUGCUUCACAAAUUCCAGAUUGAUGAGAAAGUGGCAAGAGAGAUUAUAAACCACAAGUCCCUUUGUCACUGUUAACUACAUUGUUAAGGAGGUAAGGACUUCUUUGGUUAUCUGUUGGAUCAGUUUGUAUAAAAUACACUGUUAAUUAAUUGUGCAUGCUAAUUUGUUACUUCAAUGGGUUUUUUAUUGUUCAGAUUGUUUUGAUUGUAAUGGAUUAUGCAGUUGGGGGAAACACAAACUAAUUAGCAUAUUUAUUUCCUAUAUUUGGUUUUAUUUGUUUGCUAAUACUACAUUUAGGUUCAUACAGAGUCUUUGAAAGUUGGAUGGUGUGAUAGAGCUGCUGAUGUUGGAUUUCGAGUGAUGAGUUUCAAUGCCCCUUUUUUGGUAAUGAUAAUUUGAAAUCAUGUUUCUUGAUCAAUCUGUGGUUUCAAAUUUGGAUUGUAACGAAUUGUGUGCUGAGAUAUUGGCUAAAUUUGUUGAAAUACUACCUUUUAUAAUUGUGUAAAUGAGUCAUUUGAUUAGUUAUUUUAAUAUUGAUAUUUGCACUUCAAAGUUGAUAGCUAAUACGAAUACUACCUUUAUUGUUAAUGAGCUGCUCAUUGUUGUUAUAGUGUGUACC
This 698-nucleotide long non-coding RNA is filed under the name Trifolium pratense (red clover). RNAcentral's name for it is "long non-coding RNA (TPRA_LNC005480)". Lineage: Eukaryota; Viridiplantae; Streptophyta; Magnoliopsida; Fabales; Fabaceae. The record is from RNAcentral.